RNAcentral lists this ribosomal RNA (253 nucleotides) under uncultured bacterium. RNAcentral's name for it is "partial 16S ribosomal RNA". It matches the Rfam family "Bacterial small subunit ribosomal RNA", at positions 524 to 776 of the family's 1533-position model. The record is from RNAcentral.
UACGGAGGGUGCGAGCGUUGUCCGGAAUCACUGGGCGUAAAGGGCGCGUAGGCGGCGCGGAUAGUCGGCGGUGAAAGCCCGGAGCUCAACUCCGGGUCGGCCGUCGAUACUUCCGGGCUUGAGCACUGUAGAGGCAGAUGGAAUUCCGGGUGUAGCGGUGGAAUGCGUAGAGAUCCGGAAGAACACCGGUGGCGAAGGCGGUUCUCUGGGCCUUACCUGACACUGAGGAGCGAAAGCGUGGGGAGCGAACAGG